Oncorhynchus keta (chum salmon) is the source of this 1121-nucleotide long non-coding RNA. RefSeq lists it as uncharacterized. Lineage: Eukaryota; Metazoa; Chordata; Actinopteri; Salmoniformes; Salmonidae. The record is from RefSeq and is a predicted model, not a curated record. The transcript is spliced from 5 exons.
AUGCACAGCUCUUUGGUCUGGGAAGAUGUGGCAUAUCUUAAGACCAGGUUAGGACCGUUGCCCCAUCUUCCCUGUAUGAUCCUCCAACCAGAAGACCAGGUUAGGACGUUGCCCCAUCUUCCCUGUAUGAUCCUCCAACCAGAAGACCAGGUUAGGACGUUGCCCCAUCUUCCCUGUAUGAUCCUCCAACCAGAAGAUGUCUUAAGACCAGGUUAGGAACGUUGCCCCAUCUUCCCUGUAUUAUCCUCCAACCAGAAGACCAGGUUAGGACUGUUGCCCCAUCUUCCCUGUAUGAUCCUCCAACCAGAAGACCAGGUUAGGACCGUUGCCCCAUCUUCCCUGUAUGAUCCUCCAACCAGAAGAUGUCUUAAGACCAGGUUAGGACCGUUUCCCCAUCUUCCCUGUAUUAUCCUCCAACCAGAAGACCAGGUUAGGACGUUGCCCCAUCUUCCCUGUAUGAUCCUCCAACCAGAAGAUGUCUUAAGACCAGGUUAGGACCGUUGCCCCAUCUUCCCUGUAUGAUCCUCCAACCAGAAGACCAGGUUAGGACCGUUGCCCCAUCUUCCCUGUAUGAUCCUCCAACCAGAAGACCAGGUUAGGACGUUGCCUCAUCUUCCCUGUAUGAUCCUCCAACCAGAAGACCAGGUUAGGACCGUUGCCCCAUCUUCCCUGUAUGAUCCUCCAACCAGAAGAUGUCUUAAGACCAGGUUAGGACGUUGCCCCCAUCUUCCCUGUAUGAUCCUCCAACCAGAAGACCAGGUUAGGACGUUGCCCCAUCUUCCCUGUAUGAUCCUCCAACCAGAAGAUGUCUUAAGACCAGGUUAGGACCGUUGCCCCAUCUUCCCUGUAUGAUCCUCCAACCAGAAGACCAGGUUAGGACGUUGCCCCAUCUUCCCUGUAUGAUCCUCCAACCAGAAGACCAGGUUAGGACGUUGCCUCAUCUUCCCUGUAUGAUCCUCCAACCAGAAGACCAGGUUAGGACGUUGCCCCAUCUUCCCUGUAUGAUCCUCCAACCAGAAGAUGUCUUAAGACCAGGUUAGGACGUUGCCCCAUCUUCCCUGUAUUAACCUCCAACCAGAAGACCAGGUUAGGACCGUUGCCCCAUCUUCCCUGUAUGAUCC